Peromyscus eremicus (cactus mouse) is the source of this 1249-nucleotide RNA transcript. It is a transcript of the gene named nudix hydrolase 5, with no coding region annotated. The transcript has 10 exons. The record is from RefSeq and is a predicted model, not a curated record. Lineage: Eukaryota; Metazoa; Chordata; Mammalia; Rodentia; Cricetidae.
GAGGCGCUAGAAGCUGAAGUAGUGGUGGAGAGUACGCUUAGCAUGGCCGCGCAGACUCACGAGACACAAAAAGAAUUUGAGUCCGGGAGAGAGGAGUCACGAAAGUGUAGAAUUUUAGGAGGCUUACAACUCCUCUUUCGUCUCUAAGCACCUCGACCCGGAAGGUAAUUUUCCGAAGCUAGGAGUUUCUACGGGUGCCGGGAGGAGGACGUGUGCACAUCCUCCUUGCACCACGAGAGGCGCCGGUGUCUUCUAGUGGUAGCUACUGCUUCUACGAAGAGACUGCGGCUUCUGUCUGAUUGUUUUUCCUUUCCUCCUCCAUCCCUUCCACAUCCCACAGCUUAGUAUAGCGGAACUUUCCACCCGAGGACUGCGGAGACCAACUAGAUUGGAAUGGAGAACAAAGAAUCCACAGACCCUCCUCAGAACACCAGACAGCACAUUAUUUCAGAGGAGUUGAUUUCAGAAGGAAAAUGGGUCAAAUUUGAAAAAACAACUUACAUGGAUCCUACUGGGAAAACGAGAACUUGGGAAACAGUGAAACUUACAACCAGGAAGGGGAAAUCUGCUGACGUUGUGUCCAUCAUCCCAGUGCUGCAAAGAACUCUUCAUUAUGAGUGUAUUGUUCUGGUGAAGCAGUUCCGACCCCCAAUGGGUGGCUACUGCCUGGAGUUUCCAGCAGGGCUCAUCGAUGAUGGUGAGAGCCCAGAAGCAGCCGCUCUCCGGGAGCUAGAGGAAGAAACCGGCUACAAAGGUGACGUCGCUGAGUGUUCUCCAGCUGUGUGUCUGGAUCCAGGCUUGUCGAACUGUACCACACAUGUUGUCACAGUAACCAUCAAUGGAGAUGAUGCGGAAAAUGUAAGGCCGAAGCCCAAACCAGGGGAUGGAGGUAUGCUAUUCAACUCCCAGUGGCUGGCCCUGUGAUGGCUUAGUGUAGUGAAUUUGUGGAAGUGAUUUGUUUACCAAAGAAUGACCUACUGACUAGACUUGACGCUUUGGUAGCAGAAGACCAUCUUACAGUGGAUGCCAGGCUCUACGCCUAUGCUCUGGCACUGAAACAUGCCAACUCGAAGCCAUUCGAAGUACCCUUCCUCAAAUUUUAAGGCCAAGGAGGACACUGGCCAUGUUUUGUAAAUGAGACCAUAAGGCCUUCACUAUUCAAUGUAUUCAAUUAAGUUUAAUGUAGAUCGGAAAUCAGCUUUUUCAUAAAAUAAAAGCAGCACAGACUGCAUGUGGUAUGGAAUUAUAA